Molecule: ribosomal RNA, 466 nt
Filed under: uncultured bacterium
Lineage: Bacteria
Description: partial 16S ribosomal RNA
Rfam family: Bacterial small subunit ribosomal RNA
Source: RNAcentral
GAUGAACGCUGGCGGCGUGCUUAACACAUGCAAGUCGAACGGAAAGGCCCAAGCUUGCUUGGGUACUCGAGUGGCGAACGGGUGAGUAACACGUGGGUGAUCUGCCCCGCACUUCGGGAUAAGCCUGGGAAACUGGGUCUAAUACCGGAUAGGACCACUUCUUGGAGGUUGUGGUGGAAAGUUUUUUCGGUGUGGGAUGAGCUCGCGGCCUAUCAGCUUGUUGGUGGGGUGAUGGCCUACCAAGGCGUCGACGGGUAGCCGGCCUGAGAGGGUGUACGGCCACAUUGGGACUGAGAUACGGCCCAGACUCCUACGGGAGGCAGCAGGGGGGAAUAUUGCACAAUGGGCGCAAGCCUGAUGCAGCGACGCCGCGUGGGGGAUGACGGCCUUCGGGUUGUAAACGCCUUUCGCUAGGGACGAAGCGCAAGUGACGGUACCUAGAGAAGAAGCACCGGCUAACUACGUG